CUGUCAUAGCUGGCCCCAGUCUCCACAUAACUCAUACAAGUGCCAGCCCUCUUAAGGAUGGAGGUUACCUGGGAAACCAGCACAUGGGGAUCCUGAAGGUUUGGGGAAACUGCCACGGCCAAGCCCUCUCUAUACAAACAUAAACCAUGCCCUUCGUUACAGUAUAGGUAUAAGAUGAUAACGGUGAAGAAAUCCAAAAUUCAAGGACUGCUUAGAAGCUUGUUUCAAGUUGUCCGCGCAGUUCUUCCUCCUCUGCAAAGAUUGUCACAGUGUUGGUGGCUCUGCCAGCUGUUCCUGUGGCCACCCACCUGCCACACCCUUGCUCUUUGUGACUCAGCGAAGUUGGCUUCCUCUCUGAGACAGAGUUCAGAAGGGCCACUGAAUGUGACCCCCACCCCCCGCCCCCACCAGCCUGGAAGGCUGGAAGCAAAUCAUGGGCCUGGCAUAUUUCAAUGCAAGUAAAUUACAUUCUGUCAGCCUCAUUGCCUUGAAUUUCACGGCAAAUGUGGGACAUUGAACGGCUGGCAUUUGACAAUCAAGAGAGAGGGAGAGAGAGAGAGAGACAGAAGAAAAAAAAAAGGCUACCGCCUUAUUAAUGCAAACAAUCUCCGAUCCAAAUGGCUGCGGGUGAGGAGGGGCUGUUAUUUCCAUAGAGGCGACUGCUGUUUUUUUCUUUCUGUUGAUGCUAAUUUCUCAGAAAAAUGUAAGGUA
Molecule: long non-coding RNA, 711 nt
Organism: Mastomys coucha (southern multimammate mouse)
Lineage: Eukaryota; Metazoa; Chordata; Mammalia; Rodentia; Muridae
Exons: 2
Source: RefSeq, a predicted model, not a curated record